Small nucleolar RNA from Capra hircus (goat), 69 nucleotides. NCBI's taxonomy places the organism in Eukaryota, Metazoa, Chordata, Mammalia, Artiodactyla, Bovidae. The record is from Ensembl.
UGGGCCAGUGAUGAUCAGGAAAAAAAGAGCCCUGAGCAGUGAAAAGAUGUCUGAAACUCUGAGGUCCAA